This 4872-nucleotide long non-coding RNA is filed under the name Androctonus crassicauda. Lineage: Eukaryota; Metazoa; Arthropoda; Arachnida; Scorpiones; Buthidae. The record is from RNAcentral.
AGACAUUGAUCCGGAGGGAAAGAAAUUCGACAGAGGUAACGUUAAUUAGUUCAAAUUCAUUUAAUUUAAAUGUUGCUGUAGAGUUUUAUCGAUUAGUGAUUUUAAUAAAAGAGCAGGGAUGCCGUGUCGAACGAGUCUGGACAAACCACGUGGUUUACGUCGAUACGUAUACACAAAACUACUUUGUUUUAUUUACUUUCUCAAAUAGUUUCCUAUACGAUCAUCAGUUAAUUGGAGGGUUGCAACUUAGGCGAAAACAGUAAAAAAAGUAUUUACAGGAAUUAAUUACCGAAACAUAAGUGACGUCACUAAAAUAUUGCGCAUCGCACGCAAAGUGCAGUUACUUUGCGGAUAUCUUGGCCUUCGGAGGUUCAGGUAGGUGUAUAUACACACAAAACUUUUACCCGUACAUCUGUCGCAGCGCGGUUAUUAGAAUCUGCAACAUAUUCUAUGGCAAACAGUCGCCAGCUGAUCGGACGAUGUUUAGUUGUCGCCGAUGAUGUUUCUGAGCGCUCUCCGUCAAUUCCCUUUGUAAACGGACGAGCGAUUGGUAGAGGCAACCGGAUGACGAAACACUGGCGUAAAGCCUUACUCGUUAGCUGGACGUUCGAGAUGGAGGGAGGAGAAAUCGGGGGAACUAAGUUGCGUACGUGGAAGAAACGACGCAGUCCGUAGAUUGACACCGAGUGGUAUGCUAUGCAACUUUGUUAUAUCAAUACGACCGUACUUUUUUGUGUGGUUUAUCUAUUGCCGUCGCCGAUGGACGAUAACCAAUAUAAGGUUAUCAGAUAACCACUUCAAAUAUCGACAGGUGAGUUUUCUAAUCGUUUAUUUAAAUAUCCGACGUGUCCGGCACUUCUGUAACGUUCAAACUAACUGCUAUCAUUCAGUUUUAACUUGUUUUGCCCUUUUUUUCGGCUCGUCUUCGAAGCGAGUUGACUGUAAAAGCCACACGUCACAGUAACUGCGUUAUAAGUCGCACAGUCCAAUAUUAAACGUAAAAUUGGCAAAAAUUACGUCACAUUAGUGGAAUUUGCAUUCCGACUCUGAAAACGUUUCACAUUCUGCAAAUUAUCGUUGCACAUCUACGUGAAACGUUUCUCCCUCCACUUUCGGCAAAAUUGAUAUAAGGUACGUUUAAUUAUAUUCGAAUCAUGUAAUUAGUAACAAUUAAUUAAACGAAUUUUUCAAUUAUUUUCCUAAAAAUCGUCGUUGGAACAGGAAAAAAACCAGAGUUAUUUCGAAAUCUGCGUCUAUGAGGUGACUUAAAACUCAUUUAAUACGCAUAAAAAAAAGACGAAAUUAAUGCCUAAAAAGACGUUAUUUUUGAUCAUCUUUCGUUAGAAAAUCGGAAUUAGCUACAUUUAAUCAUCCGCAAUUAUUGAUAGUUAUUAAAACAGUCCGGCGUUAGCUACGAGAAUGCGUGACUCAUUGAAUUUUCUAACUGUACAAUCGUUUGGAGUCAACAGAGAGAGAAAGAGGAAAAAUUUAUGACUCAAUCCACCCCUGAUUCACAUGUUGAUUCAGAUCGUGUUACUAGAUUAUUAAUUAACUGGAAGUAACUUUUAUGCAAAACAAAAAAAAACUGACGAAGGUGUACUGGAACUGUGCAAGGUCGAAUGUUAAAUUUAUUAAGCUCGUAGCCGGGUUUCUAUCUCGAACAUGUAUCUACUAGAACAGAAAGUACACGUAAAAUAGCAAAUGUCGAAAAUUUAAGAGAGAAAUCACUCUCUGAUAAUUUUGAUGUUUAUUUGGAAUUAGAAAAAGUAUCGUGUAACGUCUUCCCCGACUAUAAGGUUACUCUUAUUUGUGUUUUCGUAACCUGCGCGCAUACAUACGAAUACAAUUUUUACCUUUUUGCCUGUAACAAAGCUUAAAACAUUUUUACAGUAUUGGAGAAAGAAUGAUUGCUGCUAAGCAGAUUAUAUAUUAAGAGAGAAUUUUGCAACAGCGCAGAAGAAUGUUCGCGUUUGACGGUUUAUUCUCUCGAAAUCUGCUUAAGCGGCAUUUAAAUCGAACGUGUUUAAUAAUCAGCAAAUUUUCGUUAAAAUAAUUUAGAAUUUUUAAUUAAUAGUUUAAAUCGUAACUGUAUCUGAUUAUAAUUUAGUUGUAUCAGUUAAAAAUAUUGAUUUAAUUAUAGUAAACAAGUGUUUUAAGUUAACGAUUUUUACGUAAAUAUUUUUUUUUUAUAUAAGCUUUUUCCUUUAUAUAAUAAUCAUCCGACACACGUAGGGAUUUCGGGAAUUUUUUUUUUUUUUUGUCGGAAUUUUCUGGGAAUUUCUGCCAGAUUUGUUUUAAAAUUUUCGUUACCUCGCCCUUUAAAGCAAUAAAUUAAGCAUUAUCGCCCGCCGGUAUUUACAUUAAUCCUUAUCGUUUUAUUUUGACUCUGAAAUUAUCGGAGAGGUUGACGCUUGAUCCAAAUCAGAUAUGCGCGUUCCAAGGAAAAAAAAUAAAAAAACAAGCAGGUGGCGCAUCUAUGCCCGUUAAUUAACGAGCGACUGCUAAUCGUCAUUAACGUUAACCUUCGUUACUUUCGAUCGCCAUUGCAGUGGACGAACGUUUACGGAACGAAUUCUCCGAAUCGGUUGGGACGCCGUAGAUUUUCUACCUCAGGCGCAUGCGUGACCUUGAACUUGAAAUCGUCUGGCGUGAUGGGAAGGGAGCAUGCGCGCAUCCCCCCGUUCGGCCGUAGAGGUGAAUUAAUGCGGUUCGUUCUCCUUUUCUAGUUCAAGUUUGACUCGUACGCGUUAAUCGGGCGCGAUCCGUUAUCGUCUUUCACCGCGUAGGUUCCGAUGACGUUUUCGCGUGUAAUUUGCCGGGUAAAAGUUGCGUAAUUGGCCCCUUCCGUGACGUCAUCGAGCAGAACAGCUGUGCUUUGUUUUAAACUUUGAACGCGAGGUGGAAGGUACGAGUACUGCGACGAAAGGAUAUUCGUUACCUGUUGCAUAACCAGUCGGAAUUUCUGUUAAGUAAUUACGUGGACGGAUCGGGAUUCGAAUGAAUGAUAAUUUAAGCCAUUGUUAAUCUGCCCCGGACACGCUGUUUAUGCAAAGCGUAAAAAAAAUUUUAUGGAAAUUCUGACGUAGCGACGGCAUUUUGAUCCAAUUAGAGAAUUGGCGCCGGUAAAUAGUUGGCAAAAGUUUCCGUCGAGCAGAAAAAGAAAGAAGAAAACGUCUCCGAGUAGCAAAAUGCAUUAUGUACACGUUCCGUGGUUGAUUUAUAGACACUGGAGAGAUAUAUUAAAAGUCUAUUAUUGCGAGAAUUCUGCGACGACAGUACGUUCCGAACAAAGAUUUAAUAAAGUAUAGCUUAGCGGUAGACAGAGAGAACGUCCCUGUCAUAUUUUUAUUGUAGUCGUAUCUCGCCGCGCUUUUUCUUUUCUUCUUGUUUUGGGUUGCAUUUGAUUGAAAAGAUGGGCCGUGAGCCAAGACAGACAUGAAUUUUUAUGUCGCCCGACGAAUUUGCCAUUUACUCUCUUUCCGUUAUGUCCACGUAGACAACCGGUUUGAUCGGUAAAUCGGAGAAAAAUAGUUAUUAUUAUUUUUUUUAAACAGCGCAGCAAUAUUUUUUCCGAGUUAUAAAAACGUAUCGACGGCGUAUAAAGUUGCCCUUGAAAUUCUGAACUCGACCUUAAAGUCCUUCGCUGUCUAACUAGUUACAUAAACAAUAAUAAUCUUGACUCAUUUUUUAAUGGAACGAACUAAUAGAACGACUUUUUUUUUAAUCCGUGUUAUUGUUCCGUCGUUAAGGAGCAGAAAAACUUCAAGGAUUUUUUUUUUUAAUUCGUUUACUGCAUAAUUGACCGAUAUGCGGAAAAUUCUUUCGUUAUUGUAACCCGCAGUUAUGCCAUUAAAACCAAAAAAAAAAAUGAAUAAAUCUGCCACUAAUUUUUGUGUCGAUUUUUUUCGUAAUCGUAUACGUUCGCAACACUAUCUUCAUGAAUCAAAUCUGUUCGUGAACUUGUUGUUUUAAGUGAGUCAAGGUCUUGGAAUGCAUUUAUUUGCUAUCGUUUGUUUUCUGUUAUGUAUUGGGGGGCCUCCGUGAACUUUGUGGUCUAUUUAUAAUCCAGAGUCCAACCAGAACUUCGUCAUCUAAGUAGGACAACGAUCCCGAAAUACAAAACGAUUGAUCGGAAAUCGCAUCCCACAUCGGUUCUUUUAUGAUCUGGAAAUAGUUCUUUCUUCAGACAAUUAAUUGGUGGUGGUUUUUUUUUCUUUUCUUUUUUUAAAACGCGUCGUGGGUGUGACGUCCGACCGAAAUUGCGUCACACGACGUGUUAACUGGGUCGCUUAAACUCGUAACUGCUGCCGUUACACGGACAAUAGGUUCAAACGCUUUUGUGACUCAUCCACUUGUGAUUUGAAUCAAAGGAAUUGAUUCGACAACACCCGUUCUACUUACAAGUCACGAAAUCGGCUUAACCUUUACCUAUAGUGAGCGCAUAUUGUUUAAAAUAAAAAAGCGUCGAUUGUUUUUCUGUAACUCUUCCUUAUGUCGAACGAUUUUUUUUUUUUAUUUCUUUUAAUUAAAAACAGAAUUAUUUUACAUUUCCAUUAUUCUCCGGAAUUGUAAGGAAAAAUCUGUCUUGGUAACCAUUUUGAUGCAUAGUCUUCUAUAGCUAGGGAUUCUAUUAUUCGACCUUGCUUAAAAUUGCAGUAAAUUAUUGAUAUAUCAUCAUUGCAAAUUUCGUAAAGCGAUGUUUGUAGUAUCCAUUUUACUAUAGAAUUGGCUGUUGUAAGCGAACGAACAUUCUCAAAAAACCAUUGAUAACUACUGAUAGAAAUGAAUUUCUCCCAGUUAAAAAAUAAUAAUAAGUGUUAAAGUAGUAGCUCCUGUGUAACCUGUUGUUAUAGUUUGAGCUGAAACUCUGUA